AAGAAUUUAAGUUAUUCAAACUAUUAGCCUUCAAAGUUAAAAAUAGAUAAAUAUAUUCUAAUUCUUA
This 67-nucleotide transfer RNA is filed under the name Scolytinae sp. BMNH 1040065. Its description in RNAcentral is "tRNA-Trp". Lineage: Eukaryota; Metazoa; Arthropoda; Insecta; Coleoptera; Curculionidae. The record is from RNAcentral.